Gossypium raimondii (Peruvian cotton) is the source of this 145-nucleotide non-coding RNA. Lineage: Eukaryota; Viridiplantae; Streptophyta; Magnoliopsida; Malvales; Malvaceae. The record is from Rfam.
UAUUCAAAAAUUUAUCUAUUUGUAUUGUUAAAAACGAGUACAGCUGAUGAAAUAAUCAGAUAAUGAUAAAUAACAUAUCACUUAUACCUCGUGCUGAUGUAAAAUUACUAAUUUUUAACAAUAAAAAUAAAUAAAAUUUUUAGUA